Molecule: ribosomal RNA, 253 nt
Filed under: uncultured bacterium
Lineage: Bacteria
Description: partial 16S ribosomal RNA
Rfam family: Bacterial small subunit ribosomal RNA
Source: RNAcentral
UACAGAGGUCCCAAGCGUUGUUCGGAUUCACUGGGCGUAAAGGGUGCGUAGGUGGUGAGGUAAGUCGGAUGUGAAAGCUCGGAGCUCAACUCCGAAAUGGCAUUGGAAACUACCCUGCUAGAGGGUCGGAGGGGGGACUGGAAUUCUCGGUGUAGCAGUGAAAUGCGUAGAUAUCGAGAGGAACACCAGUGGCGAAGGCGAGGCCCUGGACGACUCCUGACACUGAGGCACGAAAGCUAGGGGAGCAAACAGG